RNAcentral lists this small nuclear RNA (131 nucleotides) under Aotus nancymaae (Ma's night monkey). RNAcentral's name for it is "U1 spliceosomal RNA (ENSANAG00000018954.1)". It matches the Rfam family "U1 spliceosomal RNA". Rfam says of the family: U1 is a small nuclear RNA (snRNA) component of the spliceosome (involved in pre-mRNA splicing). Its 5' end forms complementary base pairs with the 5' splice junction, thus defining the 5' donor site of an intron. There are significant differences in sequence and secondary structure between metazoan and yeast U1 snRNAs, the latter being much longer (568 nucleotides as compared to 164 nucleotides in human). The record is from RNAcentral. Lineage: Eukaryota; Metazoa; Chordata; Mammalia; Primates; Aotidae.
AUACUUACCUGGCAGCGGGGAUACCAUGAUCACAAAGGUGGUUUUCCCAGGGCGAGGCUUAUCCAUUGCACUCCAGAUGUGCUGACCCCUGUGAUUUCCCCAAAUGUGGGAAACUCGACUGCAUAAUUAAA